GAUGAACGCUGGCGGCGUGCCUAAUACAUGCAAGUCGAGCGAACGGACGAGAAGCUUGCUUCUCUGAUGUUAGCGGCGGACGGGUGAGUAACACGUGGAUAACCUACCUAUAAGACUGGGAUAACUUCGGGAAACCGUAGCUAAUACCGGAUAAUAUUUUGAACCGCAUGGUUCAAAAGUGAAAGACGGUCUUGCUGUCACUUAUAGAUGGAUCCGCGCUGCAUUAGCUAGUUGGUAAGGUAACGGCUUACCAAGGCAACGAUGCAUAGCCGACCUGAGAGGGUGAUCGGCCACACUGGAACUGAGACACGGUCCAGACUCCUACGGGAGGCAGCAGUAGGGAAUCUUCCGCAAUGGGCGAAAGCCUGACGGAGCAACGCCGCGUGAGUGAUGAAGGUCUUCGGAUCGUAAAACUCUGUUAUUAGGUAAGAACAUAUGUGUAAGUAACUGUGCACAUCUUGACGGUACCUAAUCAGAAAGCCACGGCUAACUACGUG
Molecule: ribosomal RNA, 497 nt
Filed under: uncultured bacterium
Lineage: Bacteria
Description: partial 16S ribosomal RNA
Rfam family: Bacterial small subunit ribosomal RNA
Source: RNAcentral